Molecule: long non-coding RNA, 7753 nt
Organism: Lagenorhynchus albirostris (white-beaked dolphin)
Lineage: Eukaryota; Metazoa; Chordata; Mammalia; Artiodactyla; Delphinidae
Exons: 2
Source: RefSeq, a predicted model, not a curated record
GAAAAAAGGCUGUGGAGGCAAGAGGAGCUCCAUAAGGACAGUUGGCACCUGUAAGAGGCCUUCCAGGUGGCAGUUUCUAAUAGGCACUCGCCUACAUGGGAUCUAGAGUUCUGGGGAGAGAUCCAGGCAGGAUGGUCAUUUUGCAGAUCUCACCACAAAAACGGCAGCUGAAGCCACAGUAUGGGGGAGAUCACACGAGUGAAAAAAAGGCAAAGGCAUUGCUCUGAGGAGCACCAGCAUUUGGGCAGUGGCAGAGGAACUACCAAGAAGGAAGUCAGAGAGAUGGGAGCAGAGUUUUUUGUUUUAACUCAACAGUGUGAGUGCAGCAGGUGGUCAGGUAGAUGAGGGCUGAAGAGAAGCCAGUGGAUGUGGCAGUUAGGACGCCAGUGAACAGAGGAGUGAUUAUUAAAAUUAGUACUAGCACGUUUUGCACAUGGGAUAAUUAAUACUAAUGUGUUUCACACAAGGGGAAGAAACCAGACUGAAGUGAGAGGGAAAUGAAGUAACGAAAGUGACUGGAGAGUGUUUUUCAGGAAGCAAUACUUACUCAUAGCUCCACGCCUCUGUCACAGCACGGGACCAUACCUACCAGCCUCCCAAAUCCUGCACUGCUCACCUUCCCCUCUGCCAAAUCACUGCUACUUACUAACACCUCUGGGAAGCUUCCUUAACCUUCCCAACAACUCAGGGUUGGCUUAAUAGUACUGUUACAGCAACACUAACAUACUAAUAACUUUAUAGUUGAUGCUGCAAUUCUGUUAAGCCAACUUUGUGGCUGGGAAUUCUCUCCUCAAACUGAUCUGUGGUUCAGAACCACAGUGGGCUUCCCUAUUGCAUCCCCAGUGUACCUGGGAUUGAGCUCUGUAUUUUAUGAAUGCUUAAGUAUUAUGUGGGCAAGAUGUUUUUCUCUGAAAAUAUGCCUAAAGAGGCUUGUUUUUAAGUCAGUGUUGGUUUUGACAGAUCAUUCCAGGGAAAUGGUUGCUAACUAGGAAAGGAAAAUACCAUUCACUGAAUCCUUUUGCAUUCAAUUCAAAACACCGUUUGGGUUACACACAGAGGCCCAGGAGACAGUAACAGGAGAAGGUGAUCCAGGAAAUAUGCUUUCCAAGGAAAUGAUUCAGAGAACAGUAGUAGCAAUCAGUGGCAGAGGAUUCCUACACUAUACAGAUGAGCGUUAAAAUUAGCAAUCUGCUGUUUCACAGCCUGACCAUUAAUCCCAAAGGAUUCCUCUCACUUUUGAAAUUCUUAAAUAGGUACUGAAGAAAAUUCUGAUGUACUCCUGAAUCAAGGAGUCUGAAUGACAUCAGCAUUCAGUUUCAUUUUAGUAUGCAGUACAGUUCAAGUUCUAUUAUUUUCUAACUUCUCCUAAGAGACGGGACACAGAAUUAGCUGUGAAUAGGACCAACACUGAGCCAGUGGUUCCCGACAUGUUUCUUGAAACUCAUGAGCCUUGAACGACGAUACAUUGUUAGGCUGCAUUUAACUAACCUCUGCCUGCAGUUCCCACCCUGGUUGGUCUUUGCCCCUUCCUCUUUGCCUGAGGGUCCUUUUCCUGACCCAGAGAAGGAGGUAAGAAGUGGGACCCAUAAGACUCCUUAAAUCUAAAUCCAGAGACAGAGCCCUGCUCUGGUGGACACAGGGAGCUGAGAAGUCCAUCCUGGGAGCUUGUGAGUUUCCUGGUCAACCCCAGGCUGAAAAAAAAUGGGGCUGAGCUACAAACAGUUGUAUAAAGGGUCCACCAGUUUACAGAACUUUCGUCGGCAGGUCUCCCCUUGGCCUAACUGCACUUACUGCAAGAGUGCCCACUGCCCAGUAACACUGAGCCAGGUGAAAAGAGCAUAGACGUGAGGCCAACAGAAGACAGUCUCUUUACAUGAACUCCAGUUCAGAAGACUUCUUCUCAGGGAACAAAAAAGCAGGUCCCAUCUUCCCUGAGAUGGUAAAGCAUUUUGCCUAAAGGUGGUCUUCAGCGUUUAACGGUUUGCAGACAAAAGGGUCAGAGGAAGCCAUCAGCACUCUGGCUCUUUGAAUUAUGAGCCACAGACUUACACUAUUGCUUUCACACAGUUUAUUCAGACAUUUAAAAGUUAAAAUGUGGGCAUUCCCCCCCAAAAACAAAUUAUCCCCUGCCACUCCCCAACACACAGACUACCUACCACCCUCCCAUUACCUCUCAUUGUCCAUGCUUACCACAUACUCUUGCAAAACACAUAGGGGUCAAGACCCCAACUAUUUGGUAAUCCAAAGAAGCUACAAAGUUACACAAAAGAAUCUCACUUCCUUUUCACUAGCAAACCAUGAAUGAAAGAAUAAGGGGAAACACAUUACCUUCAUCCAGAGUUAAUAUUUCCCUAAUAUUCUUUUUUCUUCCUCUAAGACAUUAAAACCCAAAGCAGUUUCACUUACUACUGUAACUCUGAUAGUCCAUUUUUCUUUUUCUUUUCUGAAUGGCUAAGCUAGGACAUACUUUCCUUUCAUAGCUGAUGUUAACAACUUCAAGACUGGCAGAAAGCAGUCUCCCAGCUGUGGCUUGGCUAUGACACUCUGCAACAGGCAAAGUUACCACAUAGGUGCAAAUGAUGCUUUAAGAGUUAUCAAAAUUUUUAAAAGUAAUAAUGCAUUAAUAUGGAGCCUCCACAUUUUUCUGAUGCAGCAAAAGUCCUCUAAAGGCGAUGGCAGCUGUGAAAGAAAAGGCACUUUGUGCUAAAAUUCAGAGGGUCUCUCUAGAGAACACCACAGCAGAGAGGCCUGGUCAGCCCAGGCCUGCACGUGACCCUUUAGGGUGAAGAGGACCAUCCCCCAGGAAGGCAUCUGCAAAGGAAAAAUUUGUAAUCAUGAUUCCAAGGCAAAAUGGUUACUUAAAGUUGGGAGAGGAGAAAUACUAAGAGGAUACAAAUACAGUUGCACCAGAUUGAGGCGUGAACUUCGCACGGAUUUGCAGGCUGGCUCUGCGCUUUGUAUUGGGCUCGUUCCUUCACCACUUGCAGGGAGGUCUGGACACGGAGCAGGAGCAGCACCUUAGCCAAGAGGGUUCGAGGCCUCCUGCUUCUGCCUGGGCUCUCCUUGCUGUGUUCCCAGGAAUAAACCGAGGUCCUUUUGGCAGCACUUGUGGGUAUUGCUAGUCCACGGCAACAUCCAAAGGGAUUUUCUAAUACAGCCGUGAAGAGAAAGUGAGGAUUUUCCACGUGAUCCAGGACUCCCUGGCAAUCAAUGCCCAGUGGCUUUUUGGGCCUUCUAAGAGCAACAAAGGAUCAAGCUGGUAUCUUCCCAUCAACACUCAGAAAAGCAGCGUCAUCAGAUGCAUCAUGGAAGAGAAUCCACUUACUAUCACAUUUCAGGAGUUUACCAUGACACGUUGGUAGGUUCCAUAAACCUCUUCGAAGCUCUUUCAAAACAGUUAUGUGAGAAGAAAACCAUGAUGUUGUACAAAGAACUGCUCGAUUUAGGAUCCCAUUUCAAGGAAACUACUUUGCUGCUUUCAUGUAGGAAGGUAUUGCCCCCCGUGCAGUCAGACCCUCAAAGCGCUUGUAUGUGUAAUUGAUGAAGACCCAGUCUUUGUUCUUGUAGUCAGUGUCAGGGUGAUUACUUGUUGCCACUGGGAAAGAAACAGAUGUGAGAGUUGAUUCACUGCCUUACCUUGAUGGACUACUCAGUACUGACACUCAGUACAUGACAUUCUGAAGAACAUAUCACAGCUUCUAUCUGGGAAAAGUUAUUUUUCACUCUGCGAAAUUUCUACAUUUGCCUGCCUAUGUUCUCUGAACCUCAUGUUUUUCACAAUAUUUUAAAAGUUUUAUUUUCUCAUUUCUGUCAUUUCAGAUUACCUAAUCUUUAAUUUAAUAAAUAACAAGAGAACAAAUCUUUGUGGUUCACCCAUCCAGCUGAGCAGGCUAAAUAUGGGUGUUUGUAUUCACUACUUUCCAUUCAACAAGGUCUCACUGCUGCCCUGCAUUAACACUGGAAAAAUACUUACAAAGAGCCUGCAGUUCCUCUCCAUGUUCUCUACCCUGAUUUGUAAACAUCACCCCAAAAUUUGGGGGAAAUAAUGCACUUAUAAGGCAGCCUGAGGCAGUGGUAGAAUUACCUGUUGGCUUAAGAAUAUCAGAUUCUGGAAACUCAUCGAAGUUUGAGGUAUCAUCAAUGCUUUUGAUUUCAAUAGAUAUUGCAGCAGGCCUCUCUCUGCCAAGGACAGACAUGCCAAAAAUUACUACGGUUAGUAAACAUAUGGAUCACAAGUAAUCAAGUCUUUCUCCAAAAAAGACCCCUGGUCUGACAAGGGAAGACUGUCCACUGGCAGGCAGCAUUAAUUUCCUUUGAAAAGCUUAUGACCACUGACCAACCACACCAGCUGACUACAACCAAACAAAACUAUGAUGAAAAAAAUGUAACAAUUAUUCAUAGCUAGGAAGAAAGACAAGAAAAAUAAGGAGAAAUUAAAAUCCAAAGUUAGCACACUCUCCCUGACAGCCUGCCCUGUCUGCUGAAAAGGGAAACUGAACCUCUAAAUGCCCCCUCGUGCAGGGCUCUGCCCCUCUUCUACCAGAAGUGCCAACGAAGUAGAGUGGCUAAAAGGCAAAGGUAGAAAUCACAAGCAUGCGAAUUAGAACACUACUAUGAAAGGGAUGACAACUUCAUCUUCUGCUCAACCAAUGAAUGCUGAGGAGGGAGGUCUGUGCAGCGCUGGCAGCUCUCUGCGAGCCCUGUCCGCAACAGUUUCACGUUUCCCCUCCACUCCCCCUCUGCGCCCUUCCCCACUCCAUCCUUCUUCCACUCCUCUCUUCCUUCUCUGUCUCCCAGUGAUAGCCUCCACCCUAGGGGCAGGGACAGUCCUGCUGGUGGCUCCUAACACUAGAGAAGUUGGUGUGUUCUUGGUAAAAGCAAGUGCAACACAAUGCUUAGGUGGUCCUUUCACCGUGGAAUCCAAAGUUCACUUCACUUUGGAAAUGACUGCUGGCUUCAACGUGUCCCAUGGCACAUGGGUGACAGGAAACCCCAACUCCCAAUCCUCGCCAUGAAUGAAAAUCAGGAAAAGACCCUGAAUUUCUAAGAAGCUCUCUUCCCAUACUUGGCUUGCCAGUAGUGGUGCUUCUAAAUUAGUAUUAAGCAAACUACAGACUUUCUGAAAUUAUCCUGAAACUUUGUAUACGGAUAUACCUGAUAUGUUCCCAGUCAACACCUUCAAAAAAAGAGUUACUUUUGAUUUCCUCAACUCCAGGGGCUCCAAUUCUAUGUUCCCAUUCACAGCAGAAUCUGGAAAAGACAGAGGCCUUUCAGCAUACCUCAAGUAGUCUCUUCAGAAAAAGAAAAGGAGAAAUGGGAGGAAGGGGGGACCAACCCAGGAAAUGAUGAAAAUUUUUAAAAAUAGAUUCACUCAUGUCGAAAAGCCUGGCUGGGGGACAGGGGAAAUGUUCUCUGAUACCUCAAAAUUAGAUCCUUGGCUUUCUCAGAAAUAGGAACUUCUGGAGGAAAAGUCAAAGUUUCUUUCCAGUUCAUCACCUUCUUAUAUGUCUCUUGAGGGGUCUCAGAACAGAAAGGUGGGUAGCCUGUAAUAAAAAGGGAACUUCGGAGCUCUCACAUCCCAGAACUUUGAAUCUGAGAUUAUUCCCCUUAAUCUGAUUCUAAUAUAUCUUUAAUGAUCCUAUAUGUCCUUCCCUACAUGACAUGGACAGGAUUUCCACUCACCCCAGGAAACAUCUAAACCAAUUGUUCAUUUUCCCCCAAACUCCUAAACCCAAAGUGAAGUUGUGCUUCUGGUACCACUAGGGAGCCAGCUACUAGCUGGAGCUGGAAAAAGGAAGGAGGACAGAAGCAGAGUUGCAGAGGCGGGGCUCACUGUGCCCAAAGAGGAAAACGAAAGGAUGAAACAACAUCAUUAAGAAAUGACUCCAUUCUAGGAAUAUCCUUAUUUGGGAAAAGUGACCACCAUGCCUCUCUUUGAGAACUACAGGUGAGAAGGAUAGUCACCGUAAUACUCCACCUGCCCUCUACACAGACCACAUCCGCCUCCACAGGCAUGUGUCCAGUGUUCCCAAAGACAACACAGCCAGACGAUGCCACACCAGUCAUUCACACAGAUUCACUCAGGGCCACCACGGACAGAUGGGCUCUCCUAGUGCUCAGGCAUAUGGCCAGCCCCACAGAUGUGUCCCCUAAAUACACAGACAUACCAAUCAACAGGGAGAGAGGUACGAGGGGUCCAUGCUCUGAAGGCUUUGAGAGAGAAGGGGGGACAGCAACUAAGAAGUAGAGUGCUCGAGACACAGCCCAGUGAAGGCUCUCUGUAUACAAUGGGUGUUUAAUAAAUGCCAGUGAAUGAAAGAGUUGCUAGAUGGAGAGGAUGGAAAAGUCGAAGAAAACCAUGAUAAAUGAUCAACAAAGCCACGAGAGGGUGCCAGGGAGCCCUAAUAUAGUGGGAUACAUUUGAUGGCCCAGCGUUUUCUACCUAGGAAACUUCACUUUAAAAGACGAGGGGGGAAAAGUGCUCUUAGAUGACCCCCACCUGAAACAGUCUAUUAUCAACAUAGGACUCUUUCCUGACUGCACAGAAAAAGUCCUCUGAAAGCACGCAACUUACCAAUGAGCAUUUCAUACAUGAUCACCCCCAGCGACCACCAAUCACAGAGCUUGUUGUACCCGGUCUGCAUGAACACCUCAGGAGCAAUGUAGUCAGGAGUGCCUACUGUGGAGAAGGCCUGAAACAUGUACACACAUCAGGAAGCCCAGCAGGAAGAUGGGUGCCCAGAGUUCUGUUCUAGAGACCAAAGGCUACAAGUAUCACCUAGAGCUACCCACAAACUAAAUAAGCAGGAUGGCCCAGCAGCUUAAUGGCAAGUCUGGCUUGCCAGAGAACUUCCAAAAUGAAAAUAAAGCUUUGUCAGUGAGGUGAGACCAUUCACUAGGUCAAAGGUAUCUGUCGUAGCAACUAGUACCAUAACUGAGCACCCAGUAAGUGCCAGGCCCUGUACUCCUUUUAUGCUUAUGAGCCUAUGACAAAACUCAGCAAAGAGGACCUUAUUCGCCCAACUUUGCAGAUAAAACUCUGACGCCCAAAACGGCUUUGCCCAAGGCCUCAGAACUAGUUAACUGGCAGAGCCUGGUUUGGAAAUUAAAUAUCUUGCUCAAAACCAUCCCUCUUUCCACCUCUUUAAUUUGGAAAAUCAUAAAGGGAAACUUUAUUAUCAAAAGCUAAAGUUAUAACCUAUUGGUCAAAGGUUUAUAAAUAUCUGCUUAUCAAACUGAAACAUUUAUGUAACUAGUUCUUAGAAGAGUAUUUUCUAAAUUCAAGUAAUCUACUCUCAUAUACCAGGACUACAAUACUAGGGGAAUUACAGUCAAAAAGCCUUCCUGUGCUCAGCAUUUGAGGGCUUACCACAUGGAAGGCUCUAAUCUAAGUGCUUUCCAUAUUAUACAACUUCUAAAGUUAAAAGCUACAGCUGUGUGGACUUUUAAAAAUAACUUAUUAUGAAAUACUGCAAAUAUACAGAAAAAAAAGCAGACAAUACAACAUCCAUGUAUACAUUACCCAUGUUAAAGAGAGGUUAAUAAUCUGUGAUAUUUGUCUCAGAUCAUUCCUUUUGAAAAGAAACAAAACUACAGAAAUGAUUAAAGCCAGAAUCCUCCUCUCCCCACUGAAGUCAUAACUAUCCUGAAAUCAUAACUACCCCUGUGCUAUGCUUGUAUGGAUAUUUGUAUAAAUGACAUAUAAUUUCUUGUAUAUUUCAACUUUUAAUAAAGGGUUUCAUACCGUACUGCA